Molecule: ribosomal RNA, 497 nt
Filed under: uncultured bacterium
Lineage: Bacteria
Description: partial 16S ribosomal RNA
Rfam family: Bacterial small subunit ribosomal RNA
Source: RNAcentral
GAUGAACGCUGGCGGCGUGCCUAAUACAUGCAAGUCGAGCGAACAGACGAGGAGCUUGCUCCUCUGACGUUAGCGGCGGACGGGUGAGUAACACGUGGAUAACCUACCUAUAAGACUGGGAUAACUUCGGGAAACCGGAGCUAAUACCGGAUAAUAUAUUGAACCGCAUGGUUCAAUAGUGAAAGACGGUUUUGCUGUCACUUAUAGAUGGAUCCGCGCCGCAUUAGCUAGUUGGUAAGGUAACGGCUUACCAAGUCAACGAUGCGUAGCCGACCUGAGAGGGUGACCGGCCACACUGAAACUGAGCCACGGUCCAGACCCCUACGGGAGGCAGCAGUAGGGAAUCUUCCGCAAUGGGCGAAAGCCUGACGGAGCAACGCCGCGUGAGUGAUGAAGGUCUUCGGAUCUUAAAACUCUGUUAUUAGGGAAGAACAAAUGUGUAAGUAACUAUGCACGUCUUGACGGUACCUAAUCAGAAAGCCACGGCUAACUACGUG